Molecule: ribosomal RNA, 293 nt
Filed under: Staphylococcus hyicus
Lineage: Bacteria; Bacillati; Bacillota; Bacilli; Caryophanales; Staphylococcaceae
Description: partial 16S ribosomal RNA
Rfam family: Bacterial small subunit ribosomal RNA
Source: RNAcentral
UUUAUGGAGAGUUUGAUCCUGGCUCAGGAUGAACGCUGGCGGCGUGCCUAAUACAUGCAAGUCGAGCGAACAGAUGAGGAGCUUGCUCCUUUGACGUUAGCGGCGGACGGGUGAGUAACACGUGGGUAACCUACCUAUAAGACUGGAAUAACUCCGGGAAACCGGGGCUAAUGCCGGAUAACAUGUUGAACCGCAUGGUUCAACAGUGAAAGACGGUCUUGCUGUCACUUAUAGAUGGACCCGCGCCGUAUUAGCUAGUUGGUAAGGUAACGGCUUACCAAGGCGACGAUACG